GAGCAGGAGAGAGAGGCACUAGCAGUUAAAUGAUCUGCCUCAUUUGCAAAACAAAUCACCAAACCAUGUUGCUUGAAUAUGAUUUACAUUUUAAGACAGAGUCCAAAGAAAGCAUUCCGGGCUUACUAAAAUGCCUCUUGCCUCUAUUCAAAGUACUCUCUGGCUCCCCCUUAGAACAAAAUUCCCAUAUUCCUAGCCUACACGUUUGCCACAUAAGUGGUGCACACCAGUAAAAGUUUUCAGAAACAAAUUCAAAAUUGCCAAUCAGUUACAAAGACUAUCAGAGCUCUGAGAGGGAGUCUGAUUUUAAAAGGUUUCUUACAUCAUAUUUGCCUGGGAUAUUACAGAUUAAUGUUAGAACUACGGUUGACCUUUGAACAACGUGGGGAUUAGGGGCACCAACCCCCCAGUGCAGUUGAAAAGCUGGGUAUAACUGUUGACUCCCUGAAAACCCUAAUUGCUAACCGGCCUGCUGUCGACCAGAAGCCUUAACAGUAACGGCGACAGUUCUUUAAUACAUAUUUUUUGUGUUGUAUGUGUUAUAUACUGUGUUCUUACAAUAAAGUAAACUAGUGAAAAGAAAAUGUUAAGAAAAUCACAAAAGAGAAAACACAUUGACUGAAAUAUGCUGUUUUAUUGAAAAAAAUCUGUAGGUAAGUGAAUCUGCACAUUUCAAACCUGUAUUUUGUUCAAGGUCAGCUGUAUAUUGGAAUAUAUUAUUUAUGUACCUAAUAUGUUUAUUGGAUUUUUAAAAUUUAAAGUAAGUAUUCUCUGUACCUUCAUUAUUUGACUACAUAUAUUAUGUAUUCUAUGCAUCCACACAGAGCUCACUUCUGUCCAUUUUCUGUGUGGUAAUUUCAGUUUGUCCUUGGGAUUAGUACACAUGAUCUUCCUUCUUAAUGGAAGUAGUCAAGAGGGGACAAGAAGGUUCCCUGGCCUUGCUCUGACAACGCUUUUCUGCAUGAAUUACAUUCCUCCGGGCCACAAGUCUCCAGAUUCUUCCAGCCCAUUUGAUUCCAGCCUGUGUGAUUAGUCCAUCGCUUCGACCUGCCGUGGGUCCCUGCCAAGCAGGGUGCUUACUAAGUGCCUCUAACAUGGAGACCUAAAGACACUUGGUAGCCUCAUUAGUGAGAGGGUGGCACUCCAUUCCAGUUUCGCAACACAGCUGCUGUUGAAGCAUCAUGAGCUUUAAAGUCGCUGAAGGGUGAUCCUAGUCAUUUGGUUUCCUUUCCAUGUGAAUAAGGCUGUUGGAGGAGGGUAGUUCAGGCAGUUCAGGGUAUGACACCCAUGCCCAGUUCAGUAGCAUAAAUCAUCCUGGGCAGGGAGUGGAGGGAGGGGGUUGGGGGGAGCCCAUUAGCUCCAUUUAAGUUGAAUCUGCAUUUUGAAGGAAUUUCAUAUUCAUUUUCAUAAAAUGCAUUUCUGUGUGUUUAGAAAUAAUGAGCAACGGUCAUAAAAAUUAUUCAGAUACCUUAAUCCUAGCCGUGAUAUUUUCUUGUGCAUAUAUGUUAUUUUCUGAAGUAUGGUUAAUGACUGAGACAGAGAUGAGCAAUUACCAGGCUUAUGAAUUAAUGCUUUUUAAACCUCUGUUAAUAAAGAUUAAAUAUUUGGGUAA
Neofelis nebulosa (Clouded leopard) is the source of this 1612-nucleotide long non-coding RNA. RefSeq lists it as uncharacterized. The record is from RefSeq and is a predicted model, not a curated record. NCBI's taxonomy places the organism in Eukaryota, Metazoa, Chordata, Mammalia, Carnivora, Felidae. The transcript is spliced from 2 exons.